CCUCCGUUCCGAAUUACUCGUCGCAGUAAUGAAUGUAUCUAGAUGUAUUUUAGUUCUAGAUACAUUCAUUUCUGUGACGAGUAAUUUGGAACGGAGGGAGUACUAA
Non-coding RNA from Triticum urartu, 106 nucleotides. Lineage: Eukaryota; Viridiplantae; Streptophyta; Magnoliopsida; Poales; Poaceae. The record is from Rfam.